Solenopsis invicta (red fire ant) is the source of this 3789-nucleotide RNA transcript. It is a transcript of the gene named gamma-tubulin complex component 3 homolog, with no coding region annotated. The transcript is spliced from 15 exons. NCBI's taxonomy places the organism in Eukaryota, Metazoa, Arthropoda, Insecta, Hymenoptera, Formicidae. The record is from RefSeq and is a predicted model, not a curated record.
UUGUGACGUAUGUGUUGAUAUGCAUGUGUAUGUGUUUGCCGCUCGAUUAUAAUUGCGAAGCCAAAACUGGCUAAAACGGUGUCGCAAGGAAUAAAUAUUGUAUUUAUAUGUGAUACAACGUCGAGCAAGAUUGUAGGGAACAUCACGUAACGCGAAGAUGAAUCCCGCGGAAGCUGAAUCUAUAGCUGACCUGGUUCAGAAUAUGAUUAUUUCUCUGUGUGGCGAACAAAAGCCAGAAUUGAUCAGAAGAUUUAUGCGUUUUUCCCUUGGCUUACUGUCAUCUACUCAAGGCAUAGAAACACUAAAAGAGGAUGAAAUGACUGUAGCGACAUAUAUAAAGAGUAAAUUAUCACCACGUGAUGCAGUACAGUUUGAUAAGCUGCAUAAUGAUUUAAAAGAUGGGCCACUGAAGAAUCGUAUAAACAUUCUGAUAUUUCUACUAAAUAUGGGCCAGUCAGUGGAACAAAUGAAGGACAAAAUCUUUUCAUUUCCAGACAUGAAAUCGGAAUUAAUCCCAAUUGCAUCUACUAGUGGACAAUCGUCACAAACGUCAUGUUCUCCAGCACAAGUUGUAUCGUUGAAUACUACAGAGACAAGUUUAAAAGGAUCAUUAACAAAUCCAAGUAAAAUAUUCAAUGAAGAAUGUAUUUCAGAAGAUGUACUAGUCCAGGAAUUGAUAUAUGCCUUCCAAAGUAUUGAAGGAAGAAUUUUAAAAUUAGAUUCCAGCUAUGGUUUUCAGAUAGAUCCUGCAGCAAAAAUUAACAGAUCACAAAAACAAGCUGUUUUAAGACUGAGCGAACUGGGAUACUUACAUAACGUAGUACAAAAAGGAUUGGAGAGAAUGUCUGUAGCUGGUGCAGGCAGAGUCACUGAUAGUUUUGUUGCUGCAUUACAUAAAGAAUUAUUAGAAUAUUACAGAUUAAUAGCCAUAAUGCAAGAAGAGGUGAAUAGAUCGCGAGUUACAUUGUCUCAUUUACAUCUUUGGGCAUUCGAUCCUUUGGAAACUCUCAAGUGGCUAGCGAGUAUAGUAAGAGCUUGCCAAGGCCAAAAAGGUGGUGCACUAGCAUCUACUGUUUAUGAAUUCAGUUAUCACGGGGAUUCUAAUGUGAAGAAUUUAGUGAAAAGAAUUUUGGAAAGUGUUUGCAAUCCCUUGUACAACAUGUUAAUGAGAUGGAUUGCAGCUGGAGAGCUAGACGAUCCAUAUAAGGAAUUUUUUAUUCAAGCAUGCAAUGAUGUUGGUGGAGACAGAAUGUGGCAUGAGAAAUAUCAAGUAAGAAAUUCAAUGGUGCCAUGCUUUCUUAGUACAGCACAAGCGAGGAAGAUUCUAGGAACAGGAAAAAGUAUUAAUUUCUUACGUGAAGUUUGUAAAGACUUUUCACCAUGGCAAGAUAGUCAAGCAGAUAUGUUCAAGAACAGUAAUAAGGACUAUAAUGUUGAAAUCUUUUUUGAUAUGGAUCCGGAUGGUCGUUUGCAAACUAUGAUGGAUGCUGCCUAUAAAGAAACUUCAGCAAGAGUUGUUGAGAUAUUGACAAAACAAUAUCAUCUUAUGGAUCAUUUACAAGGAAUUAAAGGAUAUCUAUUGCUUGGUCAAGGUCACUUUAUUCAACAUCUCAUGCACUUAUUAGAGCCUGAAUUAGCUAAACCAGCAAGUUCUUUGUACCCUCAUAACAUAUCAUCUAUUCUUGAAACUGCAAUAAGAGCAACCAGUACAAAAUUAGAUGAAUUAGAUGUGCAAAAACGUUUAGAUGUUAGGUUAUUAGCGCCUUCAGAAAGUGAAACAGGAUGGGACGUCUUUAUUCUAGAUUAUAAUGUCGAUGGACCUAUAGGAACGAUUUUGGAGCCAUGCAGACAAACGUAUCAAAAAGUCUUCUUUGCCUUAUGGAAAGCAAAAAGAAUGGAGUCAAUUUUAUCUGCUAUUUGGAAGCAACAGACAACGUCAGCGAAAAUGUUUAGAAAAAUGCUGGAAGUAUUGCCUAUCCAGAAUCAUAUUCAUCUAAUUACUAGUAGUAUGGUCCAUUUGGUUCAUCAAAUGCAAUAUUAUUUUUUAUUUGAGGUAAUCGAAUGUUCUUGGGAUACGUUUGCCAAACAACUUCUACAGGCAUCAUCCCUUGAUGAUAUAAUUGCAGCUCAUAGUCAUUUUGUUGAUUCUGUAAGGCAUGGUACAUUAUUGGAUGAAAAAUCGCAAGAACUUAUGGAUCACUUACGCUCAGUUUAUAGUCCAAUACUAGAUCUUCAGAAUCUCGAGGAAACUUUUCUUGCGCGCGCUACUCAGGAAUACGAGGCAAGAUUAAAUGAUAAUUCUGAGCAUACAUCACGUGGACAAAUGCAAAAAUGGGGUCGUACAAAUAAAAAAGAUCAAGAAAUUAUAGAAAGAGAGGCAGCGUUUUCAAAAUAUUUAAACACACUUUCAAUACAAUUGAGAUUACUUUCAAGAACCUAUCAGGAUCGUGUGAAAAAGUUCUUAUUAAUGCUUGCUUCCGCUGAAGAUGUGUCGCUGCAGUUACUUAGUGUACGAUUAGAUUUUAAUGAAUAUUACAAGAGUAAAGACAGUCGAUUAGGUGUGCCAUUAACAUAUCAACAUCGCAAACAAAGUGAUCAGACUUUCUUUGGAUGCAAGUGACAGUUGGCAGCAGAAAAUUCAUUAGAAAUCUUCAAUGAUUCAAGUCACCUUUCCAAUAAAUGCUGUACUGAGCAGGAUCCAUCUGACAUUAAUAUUGCAGAAAAUAUAAUCGAUUAAUUUUGGAAUUGUAAUGGCAUCCAAGAAAAAGAAGGCCAUGGAUACAUUAUAACUCAAAAUCUAUCUGAAAACAUUUUUUCGAAGAUUUUACUAACGUGCCAUUAGUUAAACCGAUUGAUUUAUCAACUAAGAGAGUAUUAAUCAAAUAAGAAAGCUGUGAUUAAUACAUUUAAAAUAUUAAGAAUUUCUUAGUAUGAAGAACGGCGAACAAUAAAUAAAACGGGACAACGUAAAGGCCAAUUACCAGUAUGAGAAUAUCCAUGAGCCCUUAAAUCACCGGGAGUUGGAAAAGAUCGCCCACAUUCAUCACAUUUGUGUGGUUUUUCCUGCAUUUCGAAUUGUAAGAAAAUACCUUAUAAUGUGUCAUACGGUGGUAAUACAAAUUCGAUGAUGCUGUGAAACGCUUCCCACACAUUGGACAUUCGUGAGGACGUUCACCAGUGUGAAUCCUAACGUGAGUAUUCAAUGAGCUGCUUGUACUAAACAUCUUACCACAUAUUGCGCAACCAUGUGGCUUUUCGCCUGAGAAUAGUUUUUUUAUAACAUUAUAAUUAUGUAGUUAUCCAAGUAUGAAAAAAGCUAGUUUUCAAACAAAUUUUCGUAAUUUUUUAUAAAGUUUUUAAUAAUUUUAUACGUGUUGUUAAAUAUUUGGUAACGUGCGUGUGCGUGUGCGUUUGCGUGCGCGUGUGCGUGUGUGUGUGUGUAUGUGAGACUAUUUGUUUACAAAAUUAAAAUGAGAAAUACAUUAUUAUUAACUUUCAAAAAUGCGCGUAUGCAAAUAGAUUGUUUGUAUAAAAUGUAUUACAAUAUUAAUAGAAUUUGUUAGGAUAUUAUUCUAUCUCUCCUAGUACAAACUCAUAAAUUCUAAAAAUAAAUAUAUAACAAAGUACAAAUGACAAUCUGUUUAUAUUACCAACGUUUAAAUGUCAAUAAUAAUCAUUGUCAGCAUAAACACAUUAAUAUGUUUAUUAUAUUGAAAACUUGUAAAAUGUAGAAUAAUUUAUAACAUAAACUUUCGUAAACAAUAAAAUAUAAAAUUCAUAAAAAAUAAA